This 468-nucleotide ribosomal RNA is filed under the name uncultured bacterium. Its description in RNAcentral is "partial 16S ribosomal RNA". It matches the Rfam family "Bacterial small subunit ribosomal RNA", at positions 28 to 507 of the family's 1533-position model. The record is from RNAcentral.
GACGAACGCUGGCGGCGUGCUUAACACAUGCGAGUCGAACGGAAAGGCCCUGCUUUUGUGGGGUGCUCGAGUGGCGAACGGGUGAGUAACACGUGAGUAACCUGCCCUUGACUUUGGGAUAACUUCAGGAAACUGGGGAUAAUACCGGAUAGGAGCUCCUGCUGCAUGGUGGGGGUUGGAAAGUUUCGGCGGUUGGGGAUGGACUCGCGGCUUAUCAGCUUGUUGGUGGGGUAGUGGCUUACCAAGGCUUUGACGGGUAGCCGGCCUGAGAGAGUGACCGGCCACAUUGGGACUGCGAUACGGCCCAGACUCCUACGGGAGGCAGCAGUGGGGAAUAUUGCACAAUGGGCGGAAGCCUGAUGCAGCAACGCCGCGUGCGGGAUGACGGCCUUCGGGUUGUAAACCGCUUUCGCCUGUGACGAAGCGUGAGUGACGGUAAUGGGUAAAGAGGCACCGGCUAACUACGUG